Pelobates cultripes (western spadefoot toad) is the source of this 565-nucleotide non-coding RNA. The record is from the annotation of a GenBank genome assembly. NCBI's taxonomy places the organism in Eukaryota, Metazoa, Chordata, Amphibia, Anura, Pelobatidae.
UUGAGGAGGCGGUGACCAUGGCGGUGUAGGUGGAAGCAGCAGCGGUGGAGGAGGAUGAGGUAGCCAACGCUGUUUAUAUAUAUAUAUAUAUAUAUAUAUAUAUAUAUAUAUAUUUUUUUUUUUAUUGGGGUAGCCCCCCAAAUAUUGAGACAUAUAAAAAAAGACAACUCUGUUCCGCAGAGUAGCUGUUGACAUUAUAGUUGCGCAGGCACUUUGUUGACUCUAGAGAACCUCGGACCAAUCGCACAUCUCCGUGGCGGCGACUUUGCAUGCGGAUGUCAUCCAUAUAAACUUUAGAUGCCUGCACCUACCAUGGUGACCACGGGUAAUGGGGAAUCAGGGUUCCAUUCCGUACAGGGACCCUGAGAAAUGGCUACCAUAUGCAAGGAAGGCAACAGGCGCGCAAAUGACUCACUCCUGACGCGGGAAGGUAGUGACAGCAAAUAACAAUACAGGACUCUUUAGAGGCCCUGUAAUUGUAAUGAGUCUGUGGCGGAACCAGCCUCGCCAUUGGGCAUUGGAGAAGACUGAUUGCCAGCAUCCUGCCAUGUGACUAUGGCCCCUG